GCCACUGAUGCCUUGGGAAGGCUGAGCUGGAGCAGAGACUGGGCAGAGCUGGAGAAUAAAGCAGGGAUUUCUGGAAAGGCCUUUAAGGACACACCUUAGGCAGGACAAGAGCCUGGCCAGGGCUGCACCCAAGGUGGACCCAAAAUGGACCCAAAAUGGUCACAAAAUCGAUGACCCAUCACGAGGUCUCACUCUGAUAAGUUUUGCUCCAUUUGCACACUGGGGUUGAAUUGUCCAAUUCCAGCUCCAGGCUGGGAGGUCCCAUCCUUCUUGUUCCUCCCUCAGCCCCCCUUGUUUGUGCUUUGGGGCUGAAAGUUGUCCUUGGUGUGCAGCAGGAGAAGGAUUUGUUUUGUGUCCCUGCUGUGUGCAGAGCUGAGUGUGAGCUCAGAGCUGCACCCUGGGCACCACAGAGCCUGGAAUACAGGGAAUUAAAACUUCAGGCCUCAGCACUGUGUGUGUCACAGUGGAAGAUGUCACACAGUGCCCUGUCCCUGGUCUCUGCUGUCCCUGCAUGAGCUCCUGGAGCAGACAGUUCCCUCCCCUGAGCUGUCCCUCUGAGUGCAGUCCCUGCGCUCUGCAGACACCUCCCCUUGUGCUCUCACUCUUCCCUUCCACCUCUGCUGGCACUCGGUCCCAGAACGCCACCGAGUUUGUCAGGUGUGAUUAACCUCCUGUCUGCUCCUUUCAUCUCCCCCAGACAGUUUGGGGAUAAAAGAUGUGCUUAGGAUGAAAGGAAGAGCAGCACCACACAAAAAGGCUCACAGAGCUCAGCAAGAGGAGUGGGAUCUUUAAUCCCAGCAGGAGCAUUUCUGUGAGUGAAAACGUGACCAGCGGGGCACUGCCUCCAGCACAGCCCACAGGAGCAGCACCACCAGUCCCUUGCACCAGUCUGGGCUUGGCUGCCUCAUCAAAUGCAGGGACAGUGGCGUGGCUCUUGCAGGAACUCGAAGCAAUUCCCAGGGAUGCUCCUGAGGCUGCAGCCCCAUCCCAGGGGAUGUUCACAAGGCCAUGCACAAAAUAAGUAUGAAAAUCGUGGAUACUUCAAAUGAAAAUAAAUGGAGAUAUUUUCUCAGUGUGGGAGUGGUGCCCUGGACACUCUUCUGGAAAGUUCCUGCUCACUCUCCAUGGGGGAUUUUGGCUGCUGUGGGUGAAAAUCUGAUCCUGGAGGGUGCUUGCUGUAAACAAAUGCAUCAUUCCAUUUAUGGUGGUUAAUGUGAGUAACUGAGUCCUGGAACAAGCCCUAAAUUGUGGAUUUGAAACAAACACGUCUGCAGCAGGUUGCUGUGGCCCUGGCUGUCAGAGUGUGGGGGUUUGCUGGCGAUAGUUCCUGUUCCAAGCCAUAAAAAGCUCUCACGGAAGGAAGAGGCUGCACCCUGAGCUCUCCCGAGGGCUGGCGCGUGGAGCAGCAUCCUCAGAGCCUGGAGAGGGCACAGGGACACUCUCACUGUUAAUAAAGGGUUCUUGGAAACCUCUCCAACACAGCUGAAGAGCAAAAAUUACUUCAAGUGCUCCCAGACUCCACUCAGGGGGCUCAGCUGAGACCAAGAGCUCCCGGGCUCUCCAUGUGGAGGCACCAGCAGAGUGUUCCAACAGCACCAGGCUUUAAGGGCAGAGCCAGAUCCAGAAAGACAAUGUGCUUUGCCUUGGAUCAUGGUUAUUCUCAGAGUGAGAGCUUUCCCUGCUCACCACUGCUGCCCACGAGUGGGAAUGCCUUCCUCGGGAUCCAGGGUCCCUUCCCACUCCUGUUGAGCUCAAUUCUCCAGAGGAUAACUGAGGGGCUCACUGGCUGGGGCUGGAGGAGACCCUAAAGAUGGUCUGGAUCCAUCAUGGGCAGGGAUCCUUCCAUGAGCAGGGGACAAGGACAGGGGACAGAGUCAGUGACAAGGAUCCUUCACCUGGAGCAGAACGGGAAUGCUGCAGCUCCACAUCCACACAGCUCUGUGUGACACCAAUGGAUGAAACACGAAUGGAAACCAUGAGGAGUUGAGCAGAUUUUAAAGGGGAAGGUAAUCCCAGGCCUUUGUGGGCCGGAGCUGUUUCUGUGGCACCAUUCCCAGAGCUGUUCUUCUUCCCGAGGCUGAGCUGAGGCUCCAGCAGGCUCUACUGCAAAACCCCAGACUGAGCCUUGUAUUAAAACCAAUCCCCCAUAUGGUGGCAGCCUUUUGAAAGAGAUGGGGAAAAACUCCCUCCCUUGAGUGUUUGUUUUAAUGCAGUCAGAAAGAAAAACAGAGCCUGUGGAAUGGCUCUUCUCAGGUCCAUGGGGAAAAAUGGGCAUCUCUGAAGCACUUCCACAGACACCCGGGAGAGGGAGAGGCUCUCUAGUUCCCUGCUAACAAGAUUAUUUCAAUUCUUGACCUCAUAUCAGGACAGGAGUGGUUUUAAUCAUUGCCAUCACUUCUCAAGUGCUUACAACAGUCAUAGUCUUAGGUAAGUAUAAUUUUUGCCUUUCUAUAAUAUUCUUUUAUAUUUUCAGAGUAGAACUACAUUUCAGGCUAAGACAAGAGGUGAAAUUUCAAAUGGGCACUGCAAACAUGUGGUUUGAAUGUACAGAGAGAUGUAAGGACACAAACCCAUAAACACAUAACCAAAAUCAACCAGAUGUGUCUGCAUGCACAGACAGAAAAACACCAGCUUCAUCAGCAAGGUGAAGGCUUUGUGUGAUUCCCUCUGGAGAGCUGCCAAUGUAACAAAACAGAAUCAAUAUUAUAAAUACAGGACCAAUACAAUAACUGCAGGUCCCACUUCUGUUAUCUGUGUUGUUGUUAAGCCUCAGCAGAGGCUGCAGGUGAGCUUGGAGGAGUUUGUUCCUCUUCCCUGAGCCGUUUCUGCUGCUAUUCAGCAAUUUCCAAAAUUAGGUGUUCAGCAGAGUCCUCCUUGUUCCCAGCAGCUUUUCAGGAGCAAGGAGCCCUGUGCUGGCAGCUCCUCUGCUCUCUGCUGCUCCAGGCAGGGAACAGCUCUGUGCUGGAGAUUUAAACCCUGGAAAUCAGGGCCACGAAUGUGAAAGCUGAGAGUGGUAGGUUUGGAUUAAAGGUUGGGAUGAAAUCCUUCCCUGUGAGGGUGGGCAGCCCUGGCACAGGGUGCCCAGAGCAGCUGUGGCUGCCCCUGGAUCCCUGGCAGUGCCCAAGGCCAGGUUGGACACUGGGGCUGGAGCAGCCUGGGACAGUGGGAGGUGUCCCUGCCAUGGCAGGGUGGCACAAAUGAUCUUUAAUGUCCCUUCCACCCCAGACCAGUGUGAGAUUCUGUGAACACCCUGAGUUGAAAGGGACUCCCAAGGGUCACCAAGUCCAGCUCCUGGCCCUGCACAGCCCAGCAGUGAUGGGCCCCACCCAGGGAAUGAUUCUUGUCCUGGCCCCCUCUGCCCCUCCUUGUGCUCAGCCCAAAGUCCCCUCUGUGCCCAGGGGAAGGGAUUUGGUUUCUUGGCCUCUCUCCACCCUUGGCUGGUGGAAUUGCAGUGUCUGUGCUGAGAGAGCCCCAGCCAGCUUAUUGUUUUAGAAAUAAAGAUAUUAGCAUACAAAUGACUCUGGGAGGUGUUUCUUCUCAUUAGAGAAUGGAGAUCAUUUGAUAAAAGAUGCAGCGUGCCUCAUCUGUAAAAGGGUUCAGCAGCUUUGUCUUGUCUGCACGGCUCUCUCAGCACGAGAGCUCGGGGAGUGCAGAGGGAAAGCUCAGGAGACAAAUGGCUCAUGACACUCGGGUUACCUUUACUGUGCAAGGUGGGCGUGAAAUGUUUUAUGGGGAGACAAAAAAGAUGAUGGGCAAUUAACUACAAACUCAUGCAGCAGGUUUAUCAUAUGCUCAGCUCAUCCAUCUGUGUCUCAGUCUCCAGCAGACUCAUGAGUUUCAUCAAGAAAACCAUUUUCAGACUGGCAGAGCAAAACAGAUCGGUUUUGCCUGCGAGCUCCUCCGAGGUUUGCAGAGCUUUUAUCAUAUGUUUAUGGUUUACAGAUGCAAAAUACACAUGUAGGAGAGGAGGAGGGGGCAGACGCCUCUCCCCUUGCAGGGGGUGCCUUUUGAAAUAUUUCUCACCCGGGGAGCAGUUCUGCAGCUGCUCCUGUGCAUGUGGAUGGCUUUACUCAGCUUUAGCAAUGGAAUCCGUGGGGGUGAGGUGCUGAACACGGUGUGGAACUGCACUGAAAUUCCAGCCUCUGUCCUGGGGUGCUGAAAGAACGGCCCAGGGAAUGGGGAGAGGAAGGAUGAGCUGGUGGAUAAGGACUGAACUGGUCUGGAAAAUGCUGGUGCUGCUUUUGCCUCUGCUGCAGAAGGUCUGUGUGACCCCCAGCCAAUCACUUGGUCUGGCUGUAACUCAGUUUUGGACUGUGAAGUCACAGAAUCAUGGAAUGGUUUGGGUUGGAGGGACCUUAAACCCCACUCAGUGCCAGCCCUGCCAUGGCAGGGACACCUCCCACUGUCCCAGGCUGCUCCAGCCUGGCCUUGGGCACUGCCAGGGAUCCAGGGGCAGCCACAGCUGCUCUGGGCUCCCUGUGCCAGGGCUGCCCACCCUCACAGCCAGGAAUUCCUUCCCCAUAUCCCACCCAUCCCUGUGAAUCAGUUCCCCUUUGUCCUGUCACUCCAUGCUUGUGUAAAAAGUCUUUCUCCAUCUCCUGUUGACCCCCUUCAAGUCAGAAUAGUUAUUUAUUCGAUCUGUUUGUGCUAAAUCAGUUAAUACUUCACAAUUGCCCCGUCAAUAUUAUGCCAAUGAAUAUCUUAUUGGAGACAUUUAAGUACUAAUCUUAUAGGAAUAAUUUUUUCCUUAACUAAUUAGUUGGACACAGUCUUGCCAGAUUGGUUAAAAAAGGAUAUUGAUUUUCAGAAUCAAAGGUAAUUAUUUUUAUCCUCUGACUCUUCGAGGGCCUCUUCCCUUUUCAGCCUCUCAAUGUAGCUGCUGCACGAAAAGCACACAGCUCCUCCCUGGGGAGGGAAUCGGUGCAGGGGGAGCUGGGGACUGAGCAGUGGCACAGAGCCCUGGCAUGGUGUCCCUGUCCCUGUCCCUGCCUCAGGGGAGGCUGCUGAGCCCAGGGCACCGGGGAAUGAGCUGGGUAAAGAACGGAGUGUGCAGGUCCCCGGGUCUGCCACGGGGUCACGGGUGCACAAACAGCUCCCCACUGCUCCCAGCUCUGCUUUCCCAGGCCGUGCUCCACUUUCCUUGCAGGGAAACCACUCCGACAAAGCCGUGCCCUAAUUCUUUAUUAAUUUGCCAAAUACAUGUACGUUUUUAUUGCUUUAGAGUGCUGCUGCUGCUGGAACAGUGUGCAGCUCUGAGGCUGCAGCCAGUGAAAUUCUGCCUUUCAAUCCCCUCCCUGGCCACUGCACGCUGCUGGAGGAAGGGAACUCCUGGAGGAAGAUAUUGGCCUUGUGGACUUAGCUGACAGUCCAUAAAUCUCAGUUUUGUCAGCCCAGAGAGGUGCCAUAAAGAGAGCAGAUUAAAGGAGAUUAGUUCUGCCAAGUGGCCUGAAGAGAGGAUUUACAGCUCCCCUGUGCCUGCCCCGGGGCUGGGAUGGGGCUCCGAGGUCGGGAGAAUCCUCCUGCUCCUCUGGCACUGACACCAGAGCUGCUGUCCUGGGGGCAGGGGCAGGGAAGGAGCAGGGGAGGCUGGGCCGUUCUUCCAUCUCUGUUAUUUUUGGAAGAGGCUCAUUGCUGAUUUUUGUCACCACGUUUGCAAUCUGUGGAAUCAAACGCUGCUGGAAUGGGUUGGGUUGGGUGGGGAGGGACCUCAAAGCUGAUCCCGUUCCACCCUGCCCUGGCAGGGACCCUCCCUCCGUGCCCAGGGGAUGGUGACCGAUCCCUCAGGACCCUCACGGGAUGCCCAGGACAGCCAGGGAGGCAGAGGAGGAGGAGGAGGAGAGCUUACCAGCACCACCAGUUCAGGCACCAGUCAUCAACUGGGUUUGCCUUAGAGCAUCCCAAAAUCACUGCUGCAUUUGGAGGCUGUGGUAUCCUGGAAUCUGGAGACCAAGAAAGCUGUGGAAAAUUCAGAUUCCCUUUGGGAAUGACAAUGAGGUGUCAGCCCUGGGUUUCUGCUGGCUCAUAAAAGCUUCUCAAGUUCAUGGCUUUGUUUCCCUGGAUUCACACAGGAGCACCCAGGAAGGGUUAAAUACAGCCCCUGCCAGAAAACACCUGGGAAAAUGGGAUAAAAGAGCCAGGAAUUCUGAAGGGAUGAGGGAAGGGAGAGCUUUUACUGGAGAGUCCCAGAGGGAGCGAGGGCUAUCACAAAUUUGCUGUAUUGAACGUGGGUUUAGAGCUGGCAGAGCAGAGGAGCUUUAAUCCCUUGGCUCAGAGCAAGAGCCAUUAACCCAUGGAGCCAGUCCCAGUCAGGUGAGACAAAAUGUGCUUUAUUCCCUCCCUGCUCCACAGAAAGGCAGGAAAACCUUCUCCUUUGAUGGGCAGGCUUUCAUCACGCCUCGUGUGAUGCACCUGAGCUGUUUGUCUGCAUUCCUAAGGAAGGAAAUAAAGGCAUCUGCUACAAUAUAACCUGAAUUUUGCAUGGGUAAAAUGCCUUCCAUCGUGGUUUUCUCUCUGAUUUUCAACAGCAAUUUCCUAUUUUCCAGUAUAAAUGCAGAUAUUUGAUAAGUCCUGAUAAUGGGAUGCUGCCAAUCUGUCAGGGUAAUGAGUUCUCUGCAGUCUGGAAGGUGCCACUGGGGUUCUUAUUUUGAUCACAGGAUGCUACAGAGAGAAAACCUGCUGCAGAAAGGAACUGUGAGCCUGUGGGAGAGCACCUUUCCCAAAUUCCUGCUUCCCUCUAAUAUUUUUUGUUAAUUCUUUGAAAAAUCCUGUUCUACGUUAUUUUAAAAAGGGAUACAAGGUGAGGGUUUGGAACU
This is a long non-coding RNA of Prinia subflava (tawny-flanked prinia), 6812 nucleotides long. RefSeq lists it as uncharacterized. NCBI's taxonomy places the organism in Eukaryota, Metazoa, Chordata, Aves, Passeriformes, Cisticolidae. The record is from RefSeq and is a predicted model, not a curated record. The transcript is spliced from 8 exons.